This 71-nucleotide non-coding RNA is filed under the name unclassified sequences. RNAcentral describes it as "RAGATH-16 RNA". It matches the Rfam family "RAGATH-16 RNA". Rfam says of the family: Environmental. Nearby to self-cleaving ribozyme genes The record is from Rfam by way of RNAcentral.
CCCGAUAAAUUCGGGCGUCGCCGGUGCAUGAGAGUUAGGCUCAUGGUACGAGAUAGUGAAAAUCCCCGGAG